This 391-nucleotide RNase P RNA is filed under the name Bartonella sp. HY328. RNAcentral's name for it is "RNase P RNA component class A". It matches the Rfam family "Bacterial RNase P class A". Rfam says of the family: Ribonuclease P (RNase P) is a ubiquitous endoribonuclease, found in archaea, bacteria and eukarya as well as chloroplasts and mitochondria. Its best characterised activity is the generation of mature 5'-ends of tRNAs by cleaving the 5'-leader elements of precursor-tRNAs. The record is from RNAcentral. Lineage: Bacteria; Pseudomonadati; Pseudomonadota; Alphaproteobacteria; Hyphomicrobiales; Bartonellaceae. RNAcentral also lists the same sequence under 1 other name.
UCAGUCGGCCGGGCAGCCGCGCUAGUUCAAUACCGAAAGGUGGCUAGUGAGGAAAGUCCGGGCUCCAGCGAGACACGGUGCCGGGUAACGCCCGGCGAGGGUGACCUUAGGGAAAGUGCCACAGAAAGCAAACCGCCUAUAUUAUAUAGGUAAGGGUGAAAGGGUGAGGUAAGAGCUCACCGCAUUGUCAGUAAUGAUAAUGGCAAGGUAAACCCCACCGGGAGCAAGACCGAAUAGGGAUGAUGCGUGGUUUAACCACAGGCCUGUCUCCAGCCAAUCAUCCGGGUGGGUUGCAUGAGGCGCAUGGCAACAUUGCGUCCAAGAUGAAUGGCUGCCACGUGAAGCGUUAAGCUUUGCCAUACAAAACCCGGCUUACAGGCCGACUGACUUU